GGGCCUAUAGCUCAGCAUGGUAGAGCAGGUGGCUCUUAACCACAAGGUCGUCGGUUCAAAUCCGACUAGGCCCA
This 74-nucleotide transfer RNA is filed under the name Thermoplasmata archaeon. RNAcentral describes it as "tRNA-Lys". It matches the Rfam family "tRNA". Rfam says of the family: Transfer RNA (tRNA) molecules are approximately 80 nucleotides in length. Their secondary structure includes four short double-helical elements and three loops (D, anti-codon, and T loops). RNAcentral also lists the same sequence under 1 other name. The record is from RNAcentral. Lineage: Archaea; Methanobacteriati; Thermoplasmatota; Thermoplasmata.